AUUGAACGCUGGCGGCAGGCCUAACACAUGCAAGUCGAACGGUAACAGAAAGCAGCUUGCUGCUUUGCUGACGAGUGGCGGACGGGUGAGUAAUGUCUGUGAAACUGCCUGAUGGAGGGGGAUAACUACUGGAAACGGUAGCUAAUACCGCAUAACGUCGCAAGACCAAAGAGGGGGACCUUCUGGCCUCUUGCCAUCGGAUGUGCCCAGAUGGGAUUAGCUAGUAGGUGGGGUAACGGCUCACCCAGGCGACGAUCCCUAGCUGGUCUGAGAGGAUGAGCAGCCACACUGGAACUGAGACACGGUCCAGACUCCUACGGGAGGCAGCAGUGGGGAAUAUUGCACAAUGGGCGCAAGCCUGAUGCAGCCAUGCCGCGUGUAUGAAGAAGGCCUUCGGGUUGUAAAGUACUUUCAGCGGGGAGGAAGGGAGUAAAGUUAAUACCUUUGCUCAUUGACGUUACCCGAAGAAGAAGCACCGGCUAACUCCGUG
Molecule: ribosomal RNA, 490 nt
Filed under: uncultured bacterium
Lineage: Bacteria
Description: partial 16S ribosomal RNA
Rfam family: Bacterial small subunit ribosomal RNA
Source: RNAcentral